GGAAUUUGAGUUCAAGGAAUAUGAUGAGGUGGUUAAGUGCUAUCCACAAGGAUAUCAUGGAGUCGAUAAAGACGGACGACCUGUUUAUAUUGAAAGGCUUGGUCAAGUCGAUGCUAAUAAGCUGACUCAAGUAACAACAAUCGACCGUUAUUUAAAGUACCACGUAAAAGAGUUCGAGAAGACCUUUGCUAUUAAAUUCCCUGCUGCAUCAAUUGUAGCCAAAAAACACAUUGAUCAAAGCACAACCAUAUUGGAUGUUGAAGGAGUGGUACGUAAGAUUUUGUUGCUCGGUUUUUGAAUCUUGCUUCGUUUGCAGUGUUCUAAUACGUCGUAAACGAACUUUGCAGGGGCUUAAAAGCUUCAACAAGGCUGCACGGGAUCUCCUUCAACGACUUCAAAAGAUAGACGGUGACAAUUAUCCCGAGGUAGUCAUAACUUCAUAUGGUCAUGAAACAUUUUUUUUUAAGUCAUGAUGAAGCUUAAUUAAAUGGCUUACCAAUGUUUUUGCAGACUCUGAACCGGAUGUUUAUCAUCAAUGCCGGCUCGGGAUUUAGGCUCUUAUGGGGCACGGUUAAAUCUUUCCUCGACCCGAAGACCACUGCAAAAAUCCAUGUAAGUAUGAAUCAACCGAAUUCGGUUCUCGAUACAUAAUGUUGCGAACACAACUUUAUGGUAUAUACUUUUCAUCAGGUUUUGGGUAACAAAUACCAGAGCAAAUUGCUUGAAGUAAUUGAUGCUAAGUGAGUAUCUCUUAAUAUGUAUAUAUGUGUUUCAGUCUCUCUCUCUCUCUUUAUAUAUAUAUAUAAAUAUUUGUUUGGUUGCGGUUUUUAAACAGCGAACUACCAGAGUUUUUGGGCGGUAACUGUACUUGUUCCGAUAAAGGUGGUUGCAUGCUGUCUGAUAAGGGUCCAUGGAACGAUCCCGAAAUAUUAAAGGUAUUGGCUAUAUUAUCUCGAAUAGGAUGAGUAUGGUAUAUGAGUACGUGUCUAACAUAUGUAUAACUUCACUGUAUAAGCAGAGGGUUCAAAAUGGUGAGGCCAAGUGCAUGAGGAGGAACACGUCUGGGGUCGACGACAAAGCAUGCCUAGAGGUAUUUUCACUUCUAGGAAAAGGAAUUUUCGAUUUUCAAUCAUCAAUGCCUAACCUUUUUUCUUUACAUUCGAUGUUGCAAAACCGAAGAUGAGUCGCUCAUUCAACGUGGAAACAGCUACAGGCACCGGUGAAAGGAUUGCCAAAAACACACCUUUAUCACCUGUUGCCGAAGUAAGUGGCACUCCUUAUCAUGCCAUGUCUGAAAAUGCAUUGCAUUCAUGUUUCAUGAUGCAUUUCUUUAUGUAUUUGUAGUCUCCGAUUAAGAACGAGUCCCGGGAUACCUUUACCUAUGACAAAGUUAUUCCGAUGGUUGACAAGGGUAUUGAUGCUUCCUGGCCUAAAUUGAUGGCAGAUGAAAGUUUUGCCAUAUUGAAAGGUAUAUAUAUAUAUAUAUAUUUGCUAAUUCGAAACGGUCCUAUGAUGUCAAAUUACCAGCUUACUUGUUUAUAACUUGCAGAUAGUUACCAUAUGAAGGAUGAUGGGAAGGUUGUUACUACAGGAAUGAGCAACAAUGUUUUC
This 1611-nucleotide long non-coding RNA is filed under the name Gossypium barbadense (sea-island cotton). RNAcentral's name for it is "long non-coding RNA (GBAR_LNC002771)". Lineage: Eukaryota; Viridiplantae; Streptophyta; Magnoliopsida; Malvales; Malvaceae. The record is from RNAcentral.